AUUGAACGCUGGCGGCAGGCCUAACACAUGCAAGUCGAGCGGAUGAAGGGAGCUUGCUCCUGGAUUCAGCGGCGGACGGGUGAGUAAUGCCUAGGAAUCUGCCUGGUAGUGGGGGAUAACGUCCGGAAACGGGCGCUAAUACCGCAUACGUCCUGAGGGAGAAAGUGGGGGAUCUUCGGACCUCACGCUAUCAGAUGAGCCUAGGUCGGAUUAGCUAGUUGGUGGGGUAAAGGCCUACCAAGGCGACGAUCCGUAACUGGUCGGAGGGGCUGAUCAGUCACACUGGAACUGGAACACGGCCCAGCCUCCUCGGGGGGGAAGCAGUGGGAAAUAUUGGACAAGGGCCAAAGGCCUGACCCAGCAAUGCGGCGGGUGGAAAGAAGGUCUUGGAAUUUUAAAGCCGUUUAGGUGGGGAGAAAGGGCAUUAAGUUAAUACCUUCCUUUUUUGACGUUACCAAAAAAAAAAGCCCCGGCUAACUUCGUG
This 484-nucleotide ribosomal RNA is filed under the name uncultured bacterium. RNAcentral describes it as "partial 16S ribosomal RNA". It matches the Rfam family "Bacterial small subunit ribosomal RNA", at positions 30 to 507 of the family's 1533-position model. The record is from RNAcentral.